GGUCAGGCCUUGCGCGACGAAUGCCCGCCAACCCCGUCAGGCCCGGAAGGGAGCAGCGGUAACGGGACUGUUCGUGCGCCGCAAUUCGUUUGACCGGA
This 98-nucleotide signal recognition particle RNA is filed under the name Magnetofaba australis IT-1. RNAcentral describes it as "Bacterial small signal recognition particle RNA". It matches the Rfam family "Bacterial small signal recognition particle RNA". Rfam says of the family: The signal recognition particle (SRP) is a universally conserved ribonucleoprotein involved in the co-translational targeting of proteins to membranes. Archaeal SRP consists of a 7S RNA and homologues of the eukaryotic SRP19 and SRP54 proteins. In most bacteria, the SRP consists of a 4.5S RNA and the Ffh protein (a homologue of the eukaryotic SRP54 protein). Lineage: Bacteria; Pseudomonadati; Pseudomonadota; Magnetococcia; Magnetococcales; Magnetococcaceae. The record is from Rfam by way of RNAcentral.